This is a long non-coding RNA of Rhineura floridana, 671 nucleotides long. RefSeq lists it as uncharacterized. NCBI's taxonomy places the organism in Eukaryota, Metazoa, Chordata, Lepidosauria, Squamata, Rhineuridae. The record is from RefSeq and is a predicted model, not a curated record. The transcript is spliced from 4 exons.
ACCCCUGCUGUACAGCAAUGCCCUGUUAUUUCAACAGCUUUUCUCCCUGGCCACUCUCCCUGUUAACUACCAGGAAAUUCCCUUUGUAAUUGCCUUCCAUAAGGGGCUUCCCUUAGGUCACCCUCUCCUUUCUCAGUGCUUGGUGCCAUUCUUUAUUGUUAAAGUGAUACAGAACUGGAACAUUUGCUUCAACUGUUCCAUGCUUCUCCAUAUUGCUGCUUUUAACAAUUAGCUCAGUGUUGAACAAUGAUAAAGGACACCUGCUACAAUUCCCCUGUUAGAAAGGACAAGAGCCAGACUUCCUGCAGGACUUCCAGGCAUGAUGAAGACAAUCUGAGCAGCACCUGCACCCCUUUGGAGCCCUCUUCCAGGCUGUUUUGAAGGUCACUGCAUUCUGUUGGAGACCUGCUUCUUCCAAGUUCCAAAGAUAUCGGAAGCCCACUCCACAGUAACUCAUCUGACUGCCCCUGCUCCGCAGAACAGUGUACGUAUUGAGAAUUAUGCACUUUCUGGAAACAACUGAAGACAUUUUUGUUCCAACAAGGUUUCCUAGCUGGAUGAAUAGGUCUCUGCAAUGGGGUCCACUUUAUCUUGUUUUUUAAUUCAUUUUCUGGAUUUUUGGUGCUGUUUUCUAACUAUUGAUUAUAUUUUGCAUAUUGCCUUGGGACAUG